CUUUCUGUCACGUCUUCAGGAUUUUCAUCUAGUCUCCCAUUCUGUACUGUAACAUUGUUUACCCAUUGUGGACCACAUAUCAAACUCACUCAUUUGGCUUUAAUGUCUCUAAAAGGAAAUACCAGUUUUUGAGAUGCUUUGAUGACAUGUCAAGAACUUGCAUAGAAUUUUCACUUUCUUCUUUCAAUAUAUGACCCAGCCUGUCCAUCAGGUUCUGGAACAACGUGCAUUUUGGACAUGGAACAUUUUAGUCUGUAUAACCAUUGCUGCAGAUUUGUGUGUUUAUAAAUAAAGCUGAACAAACAAUAUUACCCUUUUGGAAUAGGGCUUAUAAGCUUUUUGAUGGCUUCUUUAUCCUGGAAAAACCUUUUGCUUUUGGCCUCUUCCCUCGGUUCUCCUUCCUGAAUCUGUCAUCUUUCCCUAAUAAUGAGAAUUUAUACCGAGUAAUCAAGGCUUCGGUUGUGAAGGCUUAAUAAAUAAAAAAUAAUAAAUAAAUAAAUAAAUAAAGGCAUCAUAAUGAAUUACAACACGUUCUCCUUGCAGACAAGAAUAGCAUAUAUUUGCUUUAUAAAUCAUGUUUGGAAUAUGUAAAUUACUAUAACAUCAGAUUGUGAAAGUUGGAUAAAAAGCUCUAAAAUUUCAAAUAUUCUAAAGCCAUAAGAAAUUUCCUAUAGGAAUAACACUAAUGAUACUUACUGAGGGAGGAAAAAAUCAUUUGGCUAUGUAAAAUAAAAAUGAAUGGCAAUAUUUUAUGACAGAGUUAGGCUACUAAAUGAGUAAGAGGCAGCAUUUGCUGAACUACCACCAGAAUAGAAAAGUUAAUGAAUAAAUAUGCGAUACACAG
This is a long non-coding RNA of Gallus gallus (chicken), 844 nucleotides long. NCBI's taxonomy places the organism in Eukaryota, Metazoa, Chordata, Aves, Galliformes, Phasianidae. The record is from Ensembl.